GCUUUCUGCCUCUCCUCUCGUGAGAUCCCCAGUGAACUGGUUUUGAAGAGCUCAGCUGGAAUUUGCUGACCCUCAUCCCCCGUUCCAGCAAGGUGGAGGAAAUCUCCCUGGAAUGAGAGGUGGUACCCACGGCCAGGAGAGAUGCUGAGCAGGAGGAGCAGAAACAGAAGUCAGCCUGGCAGGGCACUGCCCAGAAAUGUGUCCUCUCACAUAAGGACCCUUUUCCCUGCAGCUGGGACUCAGCCAGCGGGACUGCAGGAUCAUGAGGAUCAGGUGGCAGCAGCUGAGGAGAUGUCUCGGUCUUGCACCUUCUGCCUGGCACUCCUUUAGAAAUUUCCCCGGAGAAGAAGGAAGACUAGCUAAAGUGGAAAUAUAGAAAACAUAUUGAGGCAGAAAAAUUAUUCAGAUUUAAGGCUGCCUGUUCAACCCUUUGUGCACGUAUAUUAUGGCACAGUAGAUGGUAUGAUUCAAUUCCCCUCAAGUUUGCUUCCUAAAAGAUAGCUUGCUCUGCCUUCAAAUAACAUUUCCUUCCACCCUAAGACAGGUAUCUAAGAAAGGUGGGAUGGGGUCAGGCUAGGUGACACCCAGAGGUCCUUUCUAGCCUGAAUUACCCCAUGACCAUGGGAGUCCUCCUCCAAAGGUCUCUGACUGUAGAGAAACCCCAGAUGUCCAGACACACAGCCAGCUAGUGAGAUGAUUACAAACAUGUUCCAGAUGAUUGCUUUCCCUGGGACCAUUGCCUCUUUCCAGCUUGUGACAAUUCACCACAGCAGUGCUGCCACCAUCCUAACCCUGAAUCUAGGGGUACAGAUGUUUGAGGAGUUAAAAGAAAGUUUAUUUGGUGAUAAGCCAUCUCUAAACAACUUACUUUAGAGGUCCUGCACAUUUCCCUGAAGCAUUUGAUGCCAGAGAGAGUUUUCUGGCUUAGAGAGAUCCCUCAGCUGAUGCAGCCCAGUGGUGCCUGUGCUCCAGUUUAGACAAUGACUUUCAUGAGACACAACCAGAGUGGAAACUCUCCACCAAACAUGAGACCUUGUUAUAAAAUCACAGCAAUGAAAAAAAGGAUAUUUUUUAAAUCCUGGGCAUCCCUUCCCCGCAACUGUCCUUUGCACUACUGUGGCAUUUAAUGUUGAGUUUUACAGCCUGAGGGCAUUACAGUUAUCUCUAGCAAUGUGCUAAGGUAUGGAAAUGCAAACAUGGUGCUUGGGAAACCCUAACUGUGAUUUGUGGUGAUGAUAUGCCAUAGAGGCAUGACUGGGGCUGGAGCACUACGGUGACUUUUUAAAAUCCACGUUCAGCUACACUGGUAUUUAGAGGCGUGAUAAAUUUGUCUUAUGCUUUUCUCCUUGCUAAGACAGGGAAGGGGUAUGGCGCUUGGGAGUCAUAAAGUCUCUUUGCUGCAAGGACUCCUGCCUUAGGUCUGCUGUCUAUCCUGUACCCGAGGAGAAAAGCUGGCUUGCUGCUGCACCUGCCUCCAUUUCUUUUAGCUGUUGCAGCCAUGAGGCAUAUAAAAGAUUGAAAAUCAAGAGGAAAACAAACAGUAUUUGUGACUAUAUGCAGGGUCAGUGGUAGUAAAAGCCCGUCUUUGGAAAAAAAUCAUCUGAGAUGAUUCCAAGAUCUUUCAAAGCAUUGCAGUGCCUCUAGGUAUUUUUUGCCGUUCCUGUAUUUUUCUUGUUAAAUGUGUAGUUUAUAAUAUUUCUAUCUUAGUGCUUUACUGGGGACCAUAAAUACCUGAUGAAAAUCACUUUCAGACUACCUGGGAUGCUCUGAAAAGCAUGUGAGCAGUAAUAGUCCACAGGAACAUCUGCAUCCUGACAGUCUGUGAGUUUAUCUGGGUAGGGCUGCAUCCAUGUAGUGCUUCCAAUUUAAUUUCCACAUUUUUCCAAAGAAGAAGAAAAAUGUCUUAUGUUUCCUGGGUGACUGGAGGAAGGUUUUACUGUGCCAGGCAUCUCUAAUCUCCCCAUGCAAGAUUUCCUUAGUGGCAGACAGAGAGCAGCAGUCUGACUAGACACAGGAAAGUGGAUAAGGUCUGGAAAUGAUGCUUUAUAGAAGUGUGGGGUUUCAUCACAUUCUGCUAAAAAUAUCAGCUCACCUUCAAUAGAAAUCACAUGAGCUAUGAUCAUGAAAGCAAUUGAUGGGCUUGGGGUCUCAGUGAGCUCAGCCCUGCUCCUGCACAGCUACAAAUAAGCAACAUCUCCAAAUCCCUCUCCACUUCCAGAGAGCCACAAAUCUCUGCCCUUCUCUCCUGGAGAAGUCCCAACCGCUCUGUGUUGAUGGCGCGCUCGUGCCUUUCACGGGGGCUAAAUUAGCGGGAGGUUGGCUGCUGCUUGGAGGGCAGCCUUGCAAAGGCACGGAGCUGUGAGCUGGAGUGAUCAAUGGUGCAGAGGGCACCGUCACUGUGACGGGAGCUGGGUGCCAGGGAGGAAGGAGCAGGUGGUGUGAGCAACGACGCGGAGUGAGGUGCUGCAAACCUCCAGCAAUCGGCACCCACCCGACACAGGCAUAAACUGAUUGAGCUCAAGACCUGCCUGUCAAUACAUGCAAACGAUGUAGAUAGCAGUGACAUCCAGUGUGUGGCUGCUUCAAGAAAUUCAAAUUGGAUUGCCAAACUUUUCACCCUUACAGGAGUCUACCAGCUUACAGCUGCCCCCUCUGCAGCAGGAAACUGCUUCCAUUUAGAGCCGAACGAAGAGUGCAAGGAAAAAAAAAAAAUCAUGAAUAUUAAUUUGAAUUCAACUGAAUUUCAAUUAGGCUGUGUUCAGUCUCCACAAAUAUUUGAGCAGUGCUAUUGCAAAUAUGGUGAAAAAGCAAAUCUGUAACUUUAACACACAAAUAUUCACAAAAGAUAAAUUCUGAACUGCGUGCUCACAAUUCACGCCAGCUUGACUUGAA
Aquila chrysaetos chrysaetos is the source of this 2892-nucleotide long non-coding RNA. RefSeq lists it as uncharacterized. The record is from RefSeq and is a predicted model, not a curated record. The transcript has 3 exons. Lineage: Eukaryota; Metazoa; Chordata; Aves; Accipitriformes; Accipitridae.